CUGCCACAGAUGACAGAACGUGGGUCUGAAAGUCAGGGAAACAGCCGACCUAGUUUAGUAGUCCUACUUGGUGAGAAGUGAGAGAAUAUGCAUUAUCCACCGUCGAAUGUCAAAGCAUGGUAUAAGGGAUCCCAGGAUCUCAUCCAAAUUCUGGGUUCAGAAUGAUGCAAGGACGUCUCAGGUUCCGACGUACAAAGGUUCAGAGACUUCGUGUGCAAGAAUCCAUGCCACGUCUGGAUCCACCGGGAAUUGUCCGCACACUACAACUACAAACUGUUCGGCGUAGAUGAUAUUCUGUGCCAGCCCCCAACAGUCAAAGGCAUAGCUAUGGCAACCAUAAAGUCAUAAAUUAAAGCUCUAUAUUGGGGGACUCGGAAGGAAGUACAAAAAUAAAUUAAGACCAUAUUUUUUUCACCCAUUUUGGAACGAUAAACCCAUAUACAGUAUAAUAUAGACCAGCGGUCUCAAACCGACUCCACAAAGGGCCGCAGUGGGUCCUGGUUUUUGUUCCAACAGAUCCACCACAAACAGUUCAACCAAUGAGGUUUCUACUAACAUAAGCAGCACCUGAUUGCAAUCAACUGAUUACACUUGUAAGAAACCAGAUUGGUGAAAAGGUAUUUGUCUCGUUUGGUUGGAAUGAAAUCCAGUACCCCCUGCGGCCCUUUGAGGACCGGUUUGAGACCACUGAUAUAGACCAUUUUAAAUUAAGUUUAAAUAUUUCAUGCUUUUAUUAUUAUUUAUUACGCGCUAGAAAUCUAAUUCAUUUAGAUUUGGAGUGCUUUCGCUGCCAGCCUCUCCCAGUCAACAAUUGAUUGGAUGUCAAGUGCUGUCAAUGGCAGCCAAUGAGUUAAAUGUUGAUGUUUAUGGCUUGCAAAAAUAAGAAACCCUAAAACUUUAUGUCUCAGAAUUACGAAAAAAAAAAAAAAAUCUGGGCCCUGCAACACAUUGUCUGUUAUUGCAGAAAUGUUGGUAUAGUUUUAGUUGCCACUUCUGGGAGAUGAUUGGAUGAAAUUUUACCCAUCAAAAUCAAAUUAUGAGGUGUGGCACGCCCUCUUUGUUUGUUGGCUCUUUGAAAAUGGCUUAACAAGUUCAACUUCAAAAGGGAUCAUGUAAAGUGCACAUUUCUAAUCAAAAACAUAACAUUAAAAAAAAAAAAAAAACAAUAAAAGCAUGAAAUAUCCCUGACCAAAAAAGUUAAAUAAAAUUAUAUAAAUGCGAACACUUUCACAGUCUAGGGCUAGGCACAUACAGAUGAGGCUAAUCAAUAACUAAAUUUGCCAUAUACGAUGUGUGCAUGUUUAGUUAUAUUUUAGGACUAGUUGGUUCAACUUUAAAUUACAUAUUUGCAUAUAUGUGAUGGUCCACAUGGUCAUCCCCCCCAUGUCGAUGUCAGUCCCAGAAGUGCAGCUGUGACAGGCCUCGACUCCUGAAGAAAUUCAGCAGAUGUCAGAAUUUUCUAAUGUACUGAAUGUCUACAACGAGACUAUCCAUCCUGCGUCAAAUAUUUGGAUUUGUUUUAAAUGACAGCAUAGAAUGUUGGUUGUCGUUGAUGUGACAUUACCUCAAUAAUGUGAAGAAAUAAUAAAGGCAAUGAUUGUUUUUCUGCAAAGUAAUAUUUUAUUGAUGACCAGUGUAAUACAAUACAAAUGAUAAACAGGCAAUUGAUGUACAAAAAAGGACUUCCAGCACAACUAACUCGUUCAUCAAAAAAAUUGUCCACUGGACACCAACAUGAGCCACUUAAGGUCAGUAACUUUUUCCCCUAAUACUGGCCAACUGCUCACCAUCAGCAUUCCCUGAAAUGUAAAUUUAUUGCGUCUUCGGGGAGCUU
Long non-coding RNA from Corythoichthys intestinalis (scribbled pipefish), 1834 nucleotides. RefSeq lists it as uncharacterized. NCBI's taxonomy places the organism in Eukaryota, Metazoa, Chordata, Actinopteri, Syngnathiformes, Syngnathidae. The record is from RefSeq and is a predicted model, not a curated record. The transcript has 3 exons.